CAGCAGCCACGGGAAUACGUAGGGUGCAAGCGUUAAUCGGAAUUACUGGGCGUAAAGCGUGCGCAGGCGGUUUGUUAAGACAGAUGUGAAAUCCCCGGGCUCAACCUGGGAACUGCAUUUGUGACUGGCAAGCUAGAGUAUGGCAGAGGGGGGUGAAAUUCCGCGUGUAGCAGUGAAAUGCGUAGAUAUCGGAAGGAACACCUGUGGCGAAAGCGGCUCACUGGACCAUUUCUGACGCUGAUGCACGAAAGCUAGGGGAGCAAACAGGAUUAGAUACCCGCGUAGUCCCUGUCUCUUAUAC
This 301-nucleotide ribosomal RNA is filed under the name uncultured bacterium. RNAcentral describes it as "partial 16S ribosomal RNA". It matches the Rfam family "Bacterial small subunit ribosomal RNA", at positions 509 to 807 of the family's 1533-position model. The record is from RNAcentral.